Cyprinus carpio carpio is the source of this 4763-nucleotide long non-coding RNA. The record is from Ensembl. Lineage: Eukaryota; Metazoa; Chordata; Actinopteri; Cypriniformes; Cyprinidae.
GGAUGUGAUUAUUCCACUCCUACAUUCUGUCUGGAGAUACAAUUGAAUAUUCAGUAGCAUGCAAGCCAAUUCACAACAUUCAGGACAACUGCAAAAUUUGCAUGGAGAAGGAACUACACCUGGAAACGGGACGAGCCAGAACUUUUACCAGCUAUGUUUACCACCUCCCACUGCAAGUCCCUCAUAUUCUGGACAAACUGCCACCGGAAAUUACUUCACCUGCACAGUUCAACCAGCAACCAGUGACCAGAUUUUGGCUAGUGGCGUUCAAGCUACCAAAGAACCUGCAAUCGAAUAAUGCUGCUCAGAGAGCUGUUGCCGUUGUCCCACCAUUGUCUCCAAUAGGAACAGCCCCUGUUAAUGUAUUAGACAAAUCUGCUAAUGUGAAAAUGAAUGUAAACCCUGUGCAAGAGACUGUACACCUUCAACCAAAUAUUCCACAUCCUCUGGUGUCCAACGCUAAUCUGAUGAACCAAACGGGAGAACCAAAUGACCCAACAAGCAAGCAUCAACGACCAAAGUCAGCAGAACCAAGGCUGAAUGAUGGCCUUUGCAACGUAGUUGGAGCCAAGAGUCCGGUUUUGGCUAAUGAAUCAACUGACCAAAGUCCGAACCUGAAAUGUGUGGUUGCAGAACAAAACGAGUCUGUUCCAGCUCAAAUGCAAAAUGAAUCAGCUGAAAAGAUGAAUAAAAACUGUACAGUGAUGGACAAAAAAACAAUUGACCCGGACACUGUUCCUUUUAUUGAAUGGCCAUUAGAUCGAUUGCAGACCUUAAUGGCCGUGAUUCAGCAAAUAGAAAAUGGGGAUCAGAAGAACAUCCACAUAACUGAUCCUGGGAAGGACAUCUUAAAACUUUACUGGAAUGGGGAUACUCGCAAGUUUUCUGAAGUUGUAGAAAGUGGCAUAUAUCAAAGCAUAAUGGAAGAAGUUUAUAUUUACUCUCCGAUGAACGAGCCUGUGAUACUGAGGCAAAUUGUAAAUGAUGCACGUAGCAAAGUCAUUGAGAAUUUUCACGUUUUAAAACACAACGAAGUGCCACCGAAGAUGACGUACACGUCGUCCUGGUUGAAUCUUAAUGAAAACGUUGAUGACAUCGACAAGGAAUGUGGUUAUUCUUGGUUCUAUAAGUCUUUUCAAAAUGUCCCCGAACACGAAGCACAAAACUCGGCAUGUGAAGCACCAAGCAAAUUGCAAGAAGCCACUGAAAAGCCAUCAUUGAUUGGGACUAAACAAUUACCAUCAGCGGUGGAGAACAAAGUACCAGCAGAUGAACCAGCAUCAAACAAGGAGAGUCUACAUGAAACCGUGCCCGUUUCAUUUAAUGGACAAUCAUCACCUGUGGCUAACAUCAACUGCUCACCGAAGCAUAAUUGUCAGGUUACAGAACUAACCAACAGUCAACCAAUUAUUGCAAAAUCUCUGGAGGCCAUGGUGGAUUUGGGUGAACAAGGUGUCCCUACUGGAAAGUCAAGUUUGGAUAACCAAUUUGGAACCAAGAGUGUUUUGUCGCCCAAAUCAAUUGGCCAAAAUGACUAUACAAACUCCCCAAAGCCCAUUCAUGUGGUUGCAAAACAACAGGAGAUUGCGUUAUCUUCUGAAAUGCAAGUUAGAUCCAGUCAAAAAAUGCUUAAUGAAUGUGCCGUUCUUGAUAAGAACGUGAGAUAUGAGACCACGCCAAAACCUAGUCAAGAAACUCCUGUGCAAGUGAAUGAAUUGGAGACUGACAAGAUGGAUUCUUCAGCCACUAAGAUGAACGUUCUCCCUCAUGAAAUGGCUAGGCAGUGCUUUGCUAAUGAGAUGAAAGGACAUCAAAUCAUUGCUGCAUUUCCAGACAAGCACAAGGCGCCUUUGUUGAACACAACCCAAGUACUUGACACAAAAUCAACAGAAGAACCAAUAAGCAGGCAGAAGCUAGAGGAGAAGGCCAAAUAUUCAGCAUCCAGAGUUCUAGCAUUGCUAUCAGAACAGUACAAGUCAUCUUUAGCUGAACAUAUUCCAUUUACAGACAAAGUACAACAAGAACAAAUCUCCUCCAAGAAAAAUAUGUACGAUGAGAUUCGUGAAGAAUCUCCUGUUCCCUCGAACGCUCAGUCUCCAUCAGUGAUUGAUAACGUCUCUCCGAAGAUUAAUGAACAACCAAAUACUGUUAAUCCACUGAACAGCAUGAGAAACCUGGUGAGGACACUGGAAAAACGAAAUGUUUCAUUAAUAAAGUAUAAAAAAUUAAUUGAAAAACAUGGUGGUUUGAAAAAGCAUAAAAAGUCAUCUAGAACAUCAAAACUGGACACCAGUUUUGGUAAUAGUGUUGGAGCCCAAAGUCCCAUUUUGAUUGAUGAAACAUCCAGCGAAAGUGACUGCACAAUCGAAGCAUCGACGCUUAGUCCUGUGGUUGAAAAACGGCAGUUUGUUCCAUUAACCCAAGUGCAAAAUGAAUCCAGUGAAAUGAUGCUUAACAGUAAAAUUGAUAAAACCCUAAGAUGUGAGACUGAUCCAAAACCUUGUCAAGAUUUUUACGUACAAAUCAAUGAUGAGAAGAUUGUUGAGAUGGAUGCUUCAUCUUAUUUUAAGCUUGAUGUUCUUACUCAGGAAAUGGCUAAACGAUGCUUUGCUGAAAAUAAAGACAUUGCUCCAACACCAAAGAAUGCAAUAUUAAGGCUGGAUGACCCUCUUUGUAAUCGAGCCAAAAGUCCAGUGUUGGCUCAUGGAUCAACCAGGCGAAUUGACUAUGCACGUCCGCCAAAACUUUAUCCAGUGCUCACGGGACCAUCUCAAAUGCGAAAUGAAUCUGAUGAAGAAAUGCCUGAAAUCGACUGUGUACUCGCAGAGGACUCUGUGAGAUGUGAGACUGAAUCAAAACCCAGUCUAGAACUUUCUAUGAAGAUGAAUGAAGAGGAGUUUGUCGAGAUGGAUGCUUCAGCUUCUAUUAAGAUUAACGUUCUCCCUCAUGAAGUGGCUAUGCAAUGCUUUGCUGAUCAGAUGAUUGAAGAUAAAGACACUGCUGCACCACUGGAGACAAUGCACUGGGCCUGUUUGUUGAAUUCACCCCAAGACACAGUAUCAACAAAAGAACAGAUAAACAUGUGGAGGAUGGAAGGGUCUGAUGGAGCUAAAAGUCCAGUGUUGACUGAAGGAUCAACGAGCCAAAGUAUUUGUGCAAGUCCACCAAAACUUGAUCCUGUGAUUAAAGAACCAUCUCAAGUGCAAAAUAAAUCCAAUGAAGAAAUGCCUGAAAUUGACUGUAUGCUCACAGAUGAGAGCUUGAGAUGCAAGACUGAUCCAAAACCUAGUCAAGAACUUCCUGUUAACAUGAAUGAAGAGGAGACUGAGAAGAUUGACAGUUUAGACUCUAUUAAGAUUGAUGUUUUCCCUCAUGAAGUGGCCAAGCUUUGGUUUGCUGGCGAGACGGAAGAUAAGGACUUGCAGAAAGAUACUACAGUUCAUAAUUCCACUGAGGACCAGGUGAAGGUUCAAGUCCUGGAACUCGAUUCUGAAAAAGUGCUCCUAGAAGAUAUGAAGCCAAAAGAGAGAAAAUAUCCAAGUUCUGGUGGUGAACAGUUGGAGUCUUACUGUUGUCUUGCUAAAUGGUUUCAAACUUUAGAACAUGGAAAUGGCUCGUUGUGCAUGUGCCAGAUAAAAUCAGAGUCGAGGGAGAAGGAGAUUCAAAUGGAGGCCCACAGAACAAGUUUAGAGGUGCAGGCUGAAAAAGACAGUCCUGGUGAUUGCGAACGUGUGGAAAUGGAUGCUGCUGCUGCUCUGGAAAGAACAGAUGAUUCUGAAGCCACAGAUGAUUCUGAGGACGAAAACCCAUUGCUGCAUGAUCCUACUACGGUGAAGACAAAGAUUGCGAAAGACAUAUCAACUUCCGAAGAGGUCUCCAAGGCAGAGACUGAAACUUCAGAGCAGAAAAGAAGUGAAUCGCCCACAAAAUGUGCAACAAACAUGACUCUUAUGAAUGUGAUUGAGCAAGACACCCCAGCUCCUGAUUUGAAGGAGACUAAAACGGUAUGUCUUGCACUGUAUGGGUCGUCUUCUGAAAAAGGAAACCAACUAAAGCUAACUAAAAGAUGCAAAGAGAAAUCAAGUCGUGAAGAACCCCCAAAAACUCUUCAAAUAAUUAUAAGCUCUCACCAGAAGGUUAAAAACAACAGCGAGUCAAAGAAGCGCAUAUGUAUGGAAUCAGAAGAUGAAGAUGCUACUGACAGGAGAAAGCGGAUACGAAGAGCAUCCUUGCAAAGUCGGGUUCAGCGUAAAUCCUUCAGCUAUUUGGUUGAAGGAAAUAAGCGGAAGAGACGGCACAAGCAUACAACGCAACAAAUGUCAAUGAAUAAAUAUAUCACUAGAGGGAAGACCGUGCCAUCCAAAUUAUUGCAUUCACCCGUUAAUGUAAAGAAAAGUAAAUAUGAGUUGGGGAACCCUGCACUGAUGCCAUUGGAUGAGGGUCCUGCUUUGGAGUUCAAAGUAUUGCCAGAGACUUUUACCUUGGAAGAUGGAGCUGAACUUAAUUGCGCUCAAGCCGACACAUCACAGACUAUGCAAAAUGAGAUGUCAGGCCCAGAAGAAAAAGCCGAAAGGAAGAAAACUAGCCAUGUGCCAACCCAAGGUGUCUGGAGUUUCAGUCCCUUGAAGAAAAAGUGCACUCAACCCAUCCAGGACACUGACGUCUCAGGCUCAUGUAGCCUCUUCCAAGAGUUCAAAAAGAAAUAUCAAGAAAAGAAGGGCGUUGCCUCCAAGCAGAACUUGAAUUCCAGUGAAAGAGCUUGA